Molecule: small RNA, 779 nt
Filed under: Rattus norvegicus (Norway rat)
Lineage: Eukaryota; Metazoa; Chordata; Mammalia; Rodentia; Muridae
Description: uncharacterized LOC102546751
Source: RNAcentral
CACCUAGCCACCAUGUGCAUGACCAAAGCCCUGAGGCUGCCAGUAAGAGAAAAGAACUACUUGAUCUUAAAGCAAGAACUAUGAAGGAAAGGUGAAGAAAGGAAGGAAAAUCCAUGAUAAUUCAUCAUAUAUCAUAAGACAUCAGCAUCUGGAUAUAAGAACCAUGCCAGGCACUGUGACUCUAAACAGAGAGCGAAGAAGUCCUCUACGAGCCCCAUGGGUUUACAGAAGUCUAUCAAUCUCUCUGUCCAUCUUCCGGAUCAUUAUUCAAGUUACUGUUCCCAAUUUUGCUGGGUAUAUGAGAUCUAGCCCAGCUCCGUAGAUCAUUUUUCUUCCUAGUGGAUUAGGAAUUUGUUCUCUUUAAAUUAUCUCUGAGCUAAUAUGCUGCUCAAAAAAGUAGUAGGAAUGUCAACAUCACCUGUGUUUGCUUUGCGUAUGUGUUUAUAUAUCUACCUCCCCACCCUUGUACUGUGAUUGCCAUAUGAGAACUUAAAGUUAUGAAUGGAACUAGUAGCAGAAUUCAGUUGUAAUGUCAUUAUUUUCUUAUUUCUAUUGACAUAUUGUUUCAGCUCUCUCAAGGAUCUGUAUGUUUUUUGAGGUCAAGAAAGACAAUUUGAAAGUGUCCCUAUUGAUGUAAAAAAAUAUACAAGUGUUUAGUCAUUUUAUCAGGAAUAAUCAAUAAGCUGAAGAAUUUAUGUGGAUGCUUACCAAAUUUAAUCCGCAAAACAGAAAAGUAUAUUGAAUAAAAGCUAAGAUGGUUAUUGCAUGUCUUUGAAAAA